This 385-nucleotide ribosomal RNA is filed under the name Limosilactobacillus reuteri. Its description in RNAcentral is "bacterial SSU rRNA". It matches the Rfam family "Bacterial small subunit ribosomal RNA", at positions 1 to 348 of the family's 1533-position model. Lineage: Bacteria; Bacillati; Bacillota; Bacilli; Lactobacillales; Lactobacillaceae. The record is from RNAcentral.
UUUAUAUGAGAGUUUGAUCCUGGCUCAGGAUGAACGCCGGCGGUGUGCCUAAUACAUGCAAGUCGUACGCACUGGCCCAACUGAUUGAUGGUGCUUGCACCUGAUUGACGAUGGAUCACCAGUGAGUGGCGGACGGGUGAGUAACACGUAGGUAACCUGCCCCGGAGCGGGGGAUAACAUUUGGAAACAGAUGCUAAUACCGCAUAACAACAAAAGCCACAUGGCUUUUGUUUGAAAGAUGGCUUUGGCUAUCACUCUGGGAUGGACCUGCGGUGCAUUAGCUAGUUGGUAAGGUAACGGCUUACCAAGGCGAUGAUGCAUAGCCGAGUUGAGAGACUGAUCGGCCACAAUGGAACUGAGACACGGUCCAUACUCCUACGGGAGG